This 440-nucleotide ribosomal RNA is filed under the name uncultured bacterium. Its description in RNAcentral is "bacterial SSU rRNA". It matches the Rfam family "Bacterial small subunit ribosomal RNA", at positions 338 to 793 of the family's 1533-position model. The record is from RNAcentral.
CCUACGGGCGGCAGCAGUGAGGAAUAUUGCCCAAUGGAGGAAACUCUGAGGCAGCGACGCCGCGUGGGUGAAGAAGGCCUUCGGGUCGUAAAGCCCUUUUCUGCGUGACGAGAGAAGGACGGUAGCGCAGGAAAAAGUCUCGGCUAACUACGUGCCAGCAGCCGCGGUAAAACGUAGGAGGCAAGCGUUAUCCGGAGUUACUGGGCGUAAAGCGUGCGUAGGCGGAUGGGUAAGUGGGUGGUGAAAGCGCUCGGCUAAACCGGGCGAGUGCCAUUCAGACUGUCCAUCUAGAGGCGGAUAGAGGGGUGCGGAAUUCCGGGUGUAGCGGUGAAAUGUGUAGAGAUCCGGAGGAACACCAGUGGUGCAAACGGCGCCCUGGGUCCGAACUGACGCUGAGGCACGAAAGCGUGGGGAGCGAACGGGAUUAGAUACCCCAGUAG